UACAAUUUCUCGAGCUUUCGCAUACAAG
This 28-nucleotide non-coding RNA is filed under the name Bombyx mori (domestic silkworm). Lineage: Eukaryota; Metazoa; Arthropoda; Insecta; Lepidoptera; Bombycidae. The record is from RNAcentral.